Molecule: ribosomal RNA, 2784 nt
Filed under: Triticum aestivum (bread wheat)
Lineage: Eukaryota; Viridiplantae; Streptophyta; Magnoliopsida; Poales; Poaceae
Description: partial small subunit ribosomal RNA
Source: RNAcentral
AUGGCGUCGGCGGCGGCGGCGGCGCUGGCGGCGGCGGGGAAGCGACAGUUAUCCGAGGACGACCUGUACCUCAUCCUCCACAAGUACUCGCCGGCGACGAUCCUGACGGCGCUCCAGGAGGUGACGCAGCACGCGCAGCGGAGGAGCAUCGACUGGCGGGCGCUGGUGGCCAAGACGGCCACGGGGAUCACCUCCGCCCGCGAGUACCAGAUGCUCUGGCGCUACAUCGCCUACGGGUACGACUUCGUCGAGAACGUCGAGGACGGCAGCCCCCAGCCACUGGGUGAUGAGAGCGACUUGGAGUGUGAGAUUGAACCCUCUCCUAAGCCGAGCAACGAAGCCGCAGCCGAGGCCUCACGGUUCGCCAAGAUCUUGAUGUACGGACCUUCACGCGAGCAAGGUUCUAGUCAUCGUGCUAACUCAGAUGUUCCUCUGCUAAACACUCCAAAUGAAAAGAUACCACGUGUUUCAUCUGACAAACAGCUUGCUCAGAGCCAUCGUCUAACAAAUGGUACAGGUCCAGUUUCCAACUCAAAGCAGGCACCCCAUACAGGGUUAUCUCCUGAUUCUUUUGAUGGGAAUGGACCUCAUAAUAAAAAGACAAAGAAGACUAAAGCAUGGACUAAGGAUGAGGAUGCAGAGUUAAUGGCUGGUGUACAUAAGUGUGGUGAAGGAAAUUGGCUGGACAUUCUGCGUAAAUAUAACUUCGAUAGCACAAGAACUUAUGGUCAAUUAUCUCAGAGAUGGGCAGUAAUUUCCAAGCGUCAAGCAACAACCAAGCCUGCUAAAGCUAAACCAGUCACCGGGGGAUAUGAUAUGAAAGCUACUCAAAAGGCAUUCUUUAUGGCUCUUGAUAUGCCUAUGGGGAAGCCUGGUGGAUUGUCUACAUUAAGAUCAGGAGCUUCACAACAAAGCACUCAACAUCCUGCUCCAGUAUUUGGUGCUGCGGCACCUGAGUUAAAAUCUGCAACAUCCUCUUCAUCAUUCUCGUUGCCAGUACCAGUGGUGCCAAGUGCAGCCCCUGGGCCUGUGUCAGCACAAGUGCAGGUUCAACCUCGGGUGCAACAAGCUCCUUCUCAAGCUGCGCCCUCAAAAGUGUCAAAUGCUUCAAUCAAGUCACGAAAUAGCUCUAAGAAGCAAACUGCACAAGCAAAUCUUACAAAUGCUCCUUCGUCUAUACAAGCUGCAGCUAUUGCUGCUGGUGGACGAAUCGCCACAGCAAGCAUCGCCACCAAUUUAUUGAAAGCUGCACAAUCCCCGCAAGCUGUACACAUAAGAUCUCGAGGAAAAGGGUCUUCAAAAACUUCUACAAGCUCUAAAGCAUCCACUGUGGCUGGUGAGCCUGGAACACAGACUGGCAGUGCUCAACACUCAGAACUUCCAAACUCCAGUGCCCCUAUACCAUCUCCUACGGUUUUGAUAACACAGUCAACCGAGCAAGUUAAUGUUGUGCCAGAAGUUGCAGGAGUUAAUCCCCCGGAACAAUCUGCUAGUGCACAUUUGUUGGAACCUGAUAGAGCAUUGAGCACCACACCAGUGCCUGGCCCAUGCGACAAUAUGGAGAUUGACGACGACUCAACAUUUUGUGUAGUCACGAUGGAGGACUUGUUUCCUGAAGACGUGAAGCAGCCAGAGACAGUGAGUCAGCCAGAGACAGUGAGGCUGCCAGAGAUGGUGAGGCAGCCAGAGACGGUGAGGCAGACAGAGACGGUGAGUCAGCCAGAGACGGUGAGGCAGCCAGAGAUGGUGAGGCAGCCAGAGACGGUGAGGCAGCCAGAGAUGGUGAAGCAGCCAGAGAUGGUAGAUCCCAAAGCCGAGGAGAUGAUAGAUCCCAAGGAUGCUGACAUGCUGGAGUUCGAUCGCUUUGUUGCCCAAGGAUGCUUGACUACAGAUUAUUCUGAUAAAAGCAAAGGUGUCAAAAUUGCUCCUGGAGCUCAAGGAGCUACUGCCAGCCAGAAGAAGAAGCAGCUACCCACAGUUGGGAAAAGCAUCCCUGUGUUUAGAGCACCAGUAACCAUGAAGAAGACCAAAGCUCUACCUUCACAUGGGGCGACGCUUGCAUCAACUGUCGCCUCUAGUGGCCUUGUUGGCACAGGCAAUGCUGGUGUGCUGAGUAAAGCAAUAUAUCGGAAGCCAGCUGGUCCAGGCACCACAGGCAAACAAAAUAGGUGCCAAGAAAUUAUGGCCCAGAAGCAGCAUGCUAUGAACUCAAAUAGUAGCGCAAUGGCCAGGAAUGCGGCUCCCGGCACCGGAACACCAGCCAGGAAUGUGGCUGCCGGCGUUGGAGCACCAGCCAGGAAUGCGGCUCCCGCCACCGGAACACCAGCUAAAAGUGUGGCUCCUGCCACUGGAACGCCACCAGUCAGGAACACGGCUCCUGCCACUGGAACGCCACCAGUCAGGAACACGGCUCCCGGCACUGGAACACCACCAGUCAGGAACACGGCUCCUGCCACUGGAACACCACCAGUCAGGAACACGGCUCCNNNNNNNNNNNNNNNNNNNNNNNNNNNNNNGGCUCCCGGCACUGGAACACCUGCAGUCAGGAACACGGCUCCUGGCACCGGAACACCAGCCAGGAACUCGCUUACUGGCACCGGAACGCCACAGGCCAGGAACUCGCUCACCGGCACAGGAACACCAGCAGCCAGGAAUGUGGCUCCUGUCACCGGAGCACCACCAGCCAGGAACUUGCUUACCGGCACCGGAACACCACCAGCCAUUCGGCAACAUAACCCAGCGGUGAAUGGGGCUAGCAAGGGGAAUCCGCCGGCCAGCCAAUAG